GUGCUCACUUCAGCAGCAGCUAUACUAAAAUUGGAAUGAUACAGAGAAAAUUAUCAUGGCCCCUGCAUAAGAAUGACAUGCAAAUUUGUGAAGUCUUCCAUAUUUUU
Small nuclear RNA from Otolemur garnettii (small-eared galago), 107 nucleotides. The record is from Ensembl. Lineage: Eukaryota; Metazoa; Chordata; Mammalia; Primates; Galagidae.